UACGUAGGGGGCAAGCGUUGUCCGGAUUCAUUGGGCGUAAAGAGCGUGUAGGCGGCCAGGUAGGUCGGUUGUGAAAACUGGAGGCUCAACCUUCAGACGUCGACCGAAACCAUCUGGCUAGAGUCCGGGAGAGGAGACUGGAAUUCCUGGUGUAGCGGUGGAAUGCGCAGAUAUCAGGAGGAACACCGGUGGCGAAGGCGGGUCUCUGGGCAGUAACUGACGCUGAGGAGCGAAAGCGUGGGGAGCGAACAGG
Molecule: ribosomal RNA, 253 nt
Filed under: uncultured bacterium
Lineage: Bacteria
Description: partial 16S ribosomal RNA
Rfam family: Bacterial small subunit ribosomal RNA
Source: RNAcentral